RNAcentral lists this ribosomal RNA (1372 nucleotides) under Microbacterium trichothecenolyticum. RNAcentral describes it as "bacterial SSU rRNA". It matches the Rfam family "Bacterial small subunit ribosomal RNA". The record is from RNAcentral. Lineage: Bacteria; Bacillati; Actinomycetota; Actinomycetes; Micrococcales; Microbacteriaceae.
GCAGUCGAACGGUGAAGCCAAGCUUGCUUGGUGGAUCAGUGGCGAACGGGUGAGUAACACGUGAGCAACCUGCCCUGGACUCUGGGAUAAGCGCUGGAAACGGCGUCUAAUACUGGAUAUGAGCUCUCAUCGCAUGGUGGGGGUUGGAAAGAUUUUUUGGUCUGGGAUGGGCUCGCGGCCUAUCAGCUUGUUGGUGAGGUAAUGGCUCACCAAGGCGUCGACGGGUAGCCGGCCUGAGAGGGUGACCGGCCACACUGGGACUGAGACACGGCCCAGACUCCUACGGGAGGCAGCAGUGGGGAAUAUUGCACAAUGGGCGGAAGCCUGAUGCAGCAACGCCGCGUGAGGGAUGACGGCCUUCGGGUUGUAAACCUCUUUUAGCAGGGAAGAAGCGAGAGUGACGGUACCUGCAGAAAAAGCGCCGGCUAACUACGUGCCAGCAGCCGCGGUAAUACGUAGGGCGCAAGCGUUAUCCGGAAUUAUUGGGCGUAAAGAGCUCGUAGGCGGUUUGUCGCGUCUGCUGUGAAAUCCCGAGGCUCAACCUCGGGCCUGCAGUGGGUACGGGCAGACUAGAGUGCGGUAGGGGAGAUUGGAAUUCCUGGUGUAGCGGUGGAAUGCGCAGAUAUCAGGAGGAACACCGAUGGCGAAGGCAGAUCUCUGGGCCGUAACUGACGCUGAGGAGCGAAAGGGUGGGGAGCAAACAGGCUUAGAUACCCUGGUAGUCCACCCCGUAAACGUUGGGAACUAGUUGUGGGGACCAUUCCACGGUUUCCGUGACGCAGCUAACGCAUUAAGUUCCCCGCCUGGGGAGUACGGCCGCAAGGCUAAAACUCAAAGGAAUUGACGGGGACCCGCACAAGCGGCGGAGCAUGCGGAUUAAUUCGAUGCAACGCGAAGAACCUUACCAAGGCUUGACAUACACCAGAACACCGUAGAAAUACGGGACUCUUUGGACACUGGUGAACAGGUGGUGCAUGGUUGUCGUCAGCUCGUGUCGUGAGAUGUUGGGUUAAGUCCCGCAACGAGCGCAACCCUCGUUCUAUGUUGCCAGCACGUAAUGGUGGGAACUCAUGGGAUACUGCCGGGGUCAACUCGGAGGAAGGUGGGGAUGACGUCAAAUCAUCAUGCCCCUUAUGUCUUGGGCUUCACGCAUGCUACAAUGGCCGGUACAAAGGGCUGCAAUACCGUGAGGUGGAGCGAAUCCCAAAAAGCCGGUCCCAGUUCGGAUUGAGGUCUGCAACUCGACCUCAUGAAGUCGGAGUCGCUAGUAAUCGCAGAUCAGCAACGCUGCGGUGAAUACGUUCCCGGGUCUUGUACACACCGCCCGUCAAGUCAUGAAAGUCGGUAACACCUGAAGCCGGUGGCCUAACCC